UUGCCUUUUUUAUUUGUGUAUGAUACCUUUUGUUAUAUAGAAAUUUAAAUAUUUGGGGUAGCUAAUUUAUUUUUCAUUUUUGUCUCUUGCAUUAUAUCUCCAAGGUUUUAAAUACAUUCUCCUUACUGUAUUUUCUUCUAAUAAUUUAAAAGUUUUGUCGGGCGUGGUGGCUCACACCUAUAAUCCCAGCACUUUGUGAGGCUGAGGCAGGUGGAUCACGAGGUCAAGAGAUUGAGACCAUCCUGGUCAACAUGGUGAAACCCGUCUCUACUAAAAAUACAAAAAAUUAGCUGGGCAUGGUGGCGUGUGCCUGUAGUCCCAGCUACUCAGGAGGCUGAGGGAGGAGAAUUGCCUGAACCCAGGAGGCGGAGGUUGCGGUGAGCCGAGAUCGCGCCAUUGCACUCCAGUCUGGGUAACAAGAGUGAAACUCCAUCUCAAAAAAUAAUAAUAAAAGUUUUACUUUUCAAUUUAAAUUUUAUUUCAUCUAGAAUUUACUUAUUGAGUGAGUGAGGUAGGGUGAGUAAGCUUAUUUACUUGCCACAAUAAAAUUUAUUAUAAAGGUCAUUCUUUUCUCAUUGAUUUAAAAGUCUCUUUCUGACCCAGUGUUGUGUUCUAAAGAAAUUUUAUUGUCUCUUGCUGUCCUCAUGUCACACUGUUUUAAUUACUGUAGGUUUGUAGUCAUUUAUAUCUUUAUGUUGAUAUCUGCUAGGCCAAAUCCUCUCUUACCAGCCUUUUACAAUCAUUUCUUGGCUAUUCUUGCAUAUUUUCUUUUCCAGAUAAAUUUUGCAAUCAGCUUGCCACAUUUCAUAAAAAUUCUCCUAGGAUUUUGCUUUUAAUGUAUUGACUAAUUUUGGACAGAAUUGACAUCACUACAGUUUUCUUAUCCAAGAACAUUGUUUUUUGUCUCUCCAAUCCAGGUCUUUUACUUUGUCCUGACCAUAUGGCUCCUCUCCGUUUAAUAUGUUAAUAAAAUGAUUUAUAUUAAUGUAUUUUUUCCCUGAUGUUGAAUUAUCUUUGUAUUUCUGGGAUAAACCCUUCUUUUUUUUUAUUCUUGUCAUGGCUACUGAAUUGAUUUCAGAUGAGCUGAUGUGCUUUGGCUCCUGGGCUCCCUCUGGUGGCCAUCAGGCCCUUCUCUGUGACCUUUGAGGAUGGGGUUUGGUACAGUUGUCUAAUCCUGGACUCCAGGGCUCAGGCCCAGGCAUUUCCCUAUGGCAGCAAGAUCAUAGAUCUAAGAAUCUGGUAGGCAUAGAAUCUGUGUGCCCGAGUUAUAUGACCAUCUGUAUUGCCUCGUUGGGUUCUGUUAGCGUCUCUUUGCUAGGAGACCCUGAGGAAAGAGACCAUAUCUGUGUUAAAAGAAUCUACUCUCUCAGAAUCCAAAAGUCCAUUCACUCAUCUGUCCCUUUCUCUAAGAUUUAUCAUUAUUUCAUUUUAAAUGAGGGAAAACUCUCAAAUACAGUUUCACUUUUAUGAAUCUGGAUGGCUUUUUUUUAAUAUCAGUAAACUUAUAAAUCAGAAACUUAUGUCCCAAAUUUGGUCUAAAAAGUAAGAUCUUGCAUCUCUGGUAUUUUGAUAGAGAUUGCAUUUAAUUUGUAGGUCACUUUGGUAGUAUGGCCAUUUUCACAAUAUUAAUUCUUUCCAUCCAUGAGCAUGAGGUGUUUUCUAUUUUUUGUGUGUGCUCUUCUGUUUCUUUCAUCAAUGUUUAAUAGUUUUCCUUGCAGAGCUCUUUUAUCUUCUUAGCUAAAUUUAUUCCUAGGUAUUUUAGAAAAUAAAUUCCUAACAGUACUGAAAAGCAAGAGAAAGUGCUACCAGCCAACAAGAAAUGUUCAGGAAUUCCUGAAAAAUGGUAAGCAGAUGAGAUUGAAUUGUUGGAAGAAACCACAGCCAAAGGAAGGGACUACUGCAGUAAGGGGAGUGGUUCUGGAGGCAUUCUUAGUUCACAGGCAACUGCUACAAGGAAAAGAAGAAAGGACCUGAGGCAACCAUCAUGCUGACUGAUUAGGGAUCCUAACUUGCUGUGGGCAGGCUGAGGCAGUGAGCAUCAGAGAUAUUUGCCCUUAAGUGGAGUCAGUCACUGCCAAUGCUUGAACUUGAAACUCAGAGAAAUCUCUGAAGGAAUGAGGAGCACAGACAAUAUCCUCCCAUUAUAAUUUCUGGAGACAGUAAAUGGAAACCACAUCCAGAGACAGACCAAUAUGGAAUAUGGAAUCUUAACUAAAAAGAGAAGCCUGCCAAUAAGGAUAAGCAUACGCUGCAUUUGAAUGAAAGCUCUGAAAGAUGGCGGCGGCCAGGGCUGAGGCUCGAGGAGCUUGGUGUGUGCCUUGCCUAGUUUAACUUGUUACUGUUCAGGAAUUAUGUAGAAAAGAAGAGCUCACAUGUAAAUUGAUUGGAAUCACCAAAGGGAAUCUAAACAACUAUGAGGUGGAAUACCUGUGUGACUACAAGGUAGUAAAGGAUAUGGAAUAUUAUCUUGUAAAAUGGAAAGGAUGGCCAGAUUCUACAAAUACUUGGGAACCUUUGGAAAAUCUCAAGUGUCCAUUACUGCUUUAGCAAUUCUCUAAUGACAAGCAUAAUUAUUUAUCUCAGGUGAAGAAAGGCAAAGCAGUAACUCCAAAAGACAAUAACAAAACUUUGAAACUUGCCAUUGCCGUGUAGUGAAGAAGGCUAAACAAAGGAUAGCUCUGCAGAGGUGGCAAGAUGAACUCAACAGAAGGCAGAAUCAGAAAGGACCGAUAUUUGUUGAAAAUACUGUUGAUUUAGAAGGCCCACCUUCAGAAUUUUACUACCUUAAUAAAUACAAACCAUCUCCUGGAAUCAGCUUAGUCAAUGAAGCUACCUUUGGUUGUUCAUGCAGAUUGCUUCUUUGAAAAAUGUUGUCCUGCUGAAGUUGGAGUUCUUUUGGCUUAUAAUAAAAACCAACAAAUUAAAAUCCCACCUGGUAAUCCCAUCUAUAAAUGCAACUCAAGGUGUCAGUGAGGACCUGAUUGUCCCAGUAGGAUUGUACAAAAAGGCACAUGGUAUUCGCUUUGCAUCUUUUGAACUAGCAAUGGUUGUGGCUGGGAUGUAAAGACCCUUGCGAAGAUUAAAAGAAUGAGUUUUGGCCGGGCGCGGUGGCUCACGCCUAUAAUCCCAGCACUUUGGGAGGCCGAGGCGGGUGGAUCACGAGGUCAAUAGAUCGAGACCAUCUUGGUCAAGGUGAAACCCCGUCUCUACUAAAAACACAAAAAUUAGCUGGGCAUGGUGGCGCGCGCCUGUAGUCCCAGCUACUUGGGAGGUUGAAACAGGAGAAUUGCUUGAACCCAGGAGGCAGAGGUUGCAGUGAGCCGAGAUCGUGCCAUUGCACUCUAGCCUGGGUAACAAGAGUGAAACUCCAUCUCAAAAAAAAAAAAGAAUGAGUUUUGUCCUGGAAUAAGUUGGAGAGGUACUCACAAGUGAAGAAGCUGAAAAACGGGGACAGUUAUGUGACAACAAGGGAAUCACGUAUCUCUUUGAUCUGGACUAUCAAUCUGAUGAAUUCACAGUGGAUGCGGCUCCAUACGGCAAUGUAUCUCAUUUUGUGAAUCACAGCUGUGACUGAAUCUUCAGGUGUUCAAUGUUUACACUGAUAACCUCAAUACUUGUCUUCCCCGAAUAGCACUGUUUUCUACGAGAACCAUAAAUGCUGGAGAAGAGCUGACCUUUGAUUAUCAAAAUGAAAGAUUUUGGAGAUACAUCUUCAGAUUCUGUUGACCACAAUCCAGCCAAAAAGAGGGUCAGAACUGUAUGUAAAUGUGGAGCUGUGACUUGCAAAAAUUACUUCAACUGAAUUUUCAGGAAAUAGAGCUGAUGAUACCUACAAUUUUUUUUGCUAAUGUUAACAUUUAAAAAAAUACACAUUUGGGACUCUUAUUAUCAAGAUUGUACCUAUGUUAAUUUACAAUUCAUGUUUCAAGACAUUUGCCAAAUGUAUUACUGAUGCCUCUGAAGAGAGGGUCACUGGGUCUCAUAGACUUGUUUGAAAUCUACAUAUUUAGUGCUUAGAGACCAAACUAAUGGAAGGCAAACUAUUCACAGCUCAGUAUGUGUGUACCUACGUCUAUGUAAACAGAGAAAUGCCUCCCGCAGUGUUCGAAAGUGUUAAGCUGAUAAUGUAAUUAACAAUUACUGAGAGAUCAAACAUUCAACUUGUCAUACACCUCAAAUUUGGAGAAGUAGAGUUAAUUUGGGCAAAUCUACCAGUUCUGUUUUUGCUACUAUAUUGUCACUCCUGUUUAAGACUCACUGUACUUAUAUUUGAGACAAACGGGUGAUACUGAAUUUUAUGCUCUAUUUUCUACCUUUUCAUUAAAACAUUGGCAUCU
Callithrix jacchus (white-tufted-ear marmoset) is the source of this 4337-nucleotide non-coding RNA. The record is from RefSeq and is a predicted model, not a curated record. NCBI's taxonomy places the organism in Eukaryota, Metazoa, Chordata, Mammalia, Primates, Cebidae.